CCGGUCCCUCCGAGCUAGAAUUGUCCAGAGCUUCUUGCAGCCUCGCCCCCAACACAGGUGGAAGGUGUCCCCUUGGGACGUCAAUGCUUACUAUUCGGUAUCUGACCAUGUGGUAGUCUUUCCAGCUGGACUCCUCCAACCCCCAUUCUUCCACCCUGGCUAUCCCAGAACCUCCUUCAAUGACUCCCUCACAUUCUUGGAGAACGCUGCAGACGUUGGGGGGCUAGCCAUCGCGCUGCAGGCAUACAGCAAGAGGCUGUUACGGCACCAUGGGGAGACUGUCCUGCCCAGCCUGGACCUCAGCCCCCAGCAGAUCUUCUUUCGAAGCUAUGCCCAGGUAGGCAGCGGCCACCUCCCGCCACAGCUUGCUUUAUGUCAGUUGAACGCCUUAUUACUGAAGCUCAUGGAAGUCCCCUCUUCAGACACUCCAUCAAAUACCCCAAACCCUCUUCUGCAGAUGUCCUCACUGUUAUCUUUUCUCUUCCCUCCCUACCCCUUGGAAUCACCCCUCAGAUGACUACAGGUUCUUCUACCUAAUUCAGCACCCCCACAACUCAAAAGGUAGAAAAAACUCUAUUCCCAAGUUCCUCCAGGAGAGGAGGAGACCAACUUUUUUUUCCUCUCAUACCCCCAAAAUACAGAUGCCUUAAAAAUGAGCCUGUGGUUGGGCGCAGUGGCUCACACCUGUAAUCCUGGCACUUUGGG
Molecule: small RNA, 705 nt
Filed under: Pan troglodytes (chimpanzee)
Lineage: Eukaryota; Metazoa; Chordata; Mammalia; Primates; Hominidae
Description: retained intron
Source: RNAcentral